UGAGAAAUGGUGUAGUGGUUUGAGUGUUAAACUAAGACUUGAAACCAGGGUUCGAUUCCCUGCUUGGCCA
Phrynosoma platyrhinos (Desert horned lizard) is the source of this 70-nucleotide non-coding RNA. NCBI's taxonomy places the organism in Eukaryota, Metazoa, Chordata, Lepidosauria, Squamata, Phrynosomatidae. The record is from the annotation of a GenBank genome assembly.